Molecule: ribosomal RNA, 582 nt
Filed under: uncultured Ohtaekwangia sp.
Lineage: Bacteria; Pseudomonadati; Bacteroidota; Cytophagia; Cytophagales; Fulvivirgaceae
Description: bacterial SSU rRNA
Rfam family: Bacterial small subunit ribosomal RNA
Source: RNAcentral
AAGGGUGCGUAACACGUAUGCAAUCUGCCCUCAACAGGAGAAUAGCUCGGGGAAACUCGAAUUAACACUCCAUAAUAUCACGGGAUGGCAUCAUUUUGUGAUUAAAACUACGGUGGUUGAGGAUGAGCAUGCGCAUGAUUAGCUAGUUGGCGGGGUAACGGCCCACCAAGGCAAUGAUCAUUAGGGGAACUGAGAGGUUGAUCCCCCACACUGGCACUGAGAUACGGGCCAGACUCCUACGGGAGGCAGCAGUAGGGAAUAUUGGACAAUGGGUGCGAGCCUGAUCCAGCCAUGCCGCGUGCAGGAAGAAGGCCUUCUGGGUUGUAAACUGCUUUUGCCAGGGGAUAAAAAGCCCAUGCGUGGGAAAUUGAAGGUACCUGGUGAAUAAGCCACGGCUAACUACGUGCCAGCAGCCGCGGUAAUACGUAGGUGGCAAGCGUUGUCCGGAUUUAUUGGGUUUAAAGGGUGCGUAGGCGGUUUUAUAAGUCAGUGGUGAAAUACGGCAGCUUAACUGUCGAGGUGCCAUUGAUACUGUAAGACUUGAGUACUGAUGAGGUAGGCGGAAUUGACGGUGUAGCGGUG